RNAcentral lists this ribosomal RNA (109 nucleotides) under Periophthalmus magnuspinnatus. Lineage: Eukaryota; Metazoa; Chordata; Actinopteri; Gobiiformes; Gobiidae. The record is from RNAcentral.
GUUUAUUGUCAUACAUACUUGUCAAAGCCCGAUUUAGUUAAAUCUGUGAAACUAAGCAAGGCCUGGUUAGUACUUGGAUGGGAGACCAUUGGGAAUAUCAAGUGCUACC